RNAcentral lists this ribosomal RNA (344 nucleotides) under Chrysolina lucidicollis grossepunctata. Its description in RNAcentral is "16S ribosomal RNA". The record is from RNAcentral. Lineage: Eukaryota; Metazoa; Arthropoda; Insecta; Coleoptera; Chrysomelidae.
UGUAAAAUUUUAAAGGUCGAACAGACCUAAUAUUAUAGCUUCUACACCAAAAAUUAAUUUUAAUCCAACAUCGAGGUCGCAAUCUUUUCUUUUAAUAUGAACUUUAUAAAAAAAUUACGCUGUUAUCCCUAAGGUAAUUUUAUCUUAUAAUCAAAAAUAUUGGRUCAUUUAUUCAUAAAUUUAUGUUUAAAAAUAAAAAAAAAGUUUAUUAAAUUUUUCAAUCACCCCAAUUAAAUUAUUAAAUAAAAUAUAUAAAUAAAUACUAAAAUAUAAUUUUUAUUUAAUAAUUAAACUCUAUAGGGUCUUCUCGUCUUUUAAAUUCAAUUAAGCUUUUUAACUUAAAA